RNAcentral lists this ribosomal RNA (460 nucleotides) under uncultured bacterium. RNAcentral describes it as "bacterial SSU rRNA". It matches the Rfam family "Bacterial small subunit ribosomal RNA", at positions 29 to 534 of the family's 1533-position model. The record is from RNAcentral.
AACGAACGCUGGCGGCAUGCCUAACACAUGCAAGUCGAACGAGACCUUCGGGUCUAGUGGCGCACGGGUGCGUAACGCGUGGGAACCUGCCUUUAGGUUCGGAAUAACUCAGAGAAAUUUGAGCUAAUACCGGAUGAUGUCUUCGGACCAAAGAUUUAUCGCCUUUAGAUGGGCCCGCGUAAGAUUAGCUAGUUGGUGGGGUAAAGGCCUACCAAGGCGACGAUCUUUAGCUGGUCUGAGAGGAUGAUCAGCCACACUGGGACUGAGACACGGCCCAGACUCCUACGGGAGGCAGCAGUGGGGAAUAUUGGACAAUGGGCGAAAGCCUGAUCCAGCAAUGCCACGUGAGUGAUGAAGGCCUUAGGGUUGUAAAGCUCUUUUACCCGAGAUGAUAAUGACAGUAUCGGGAGAAUAAGCUCCGGCUAACUCCGUGCCAGCAGCCGCGGUAAAGUGACUACUG